GAUGAACGCUGGCGGCGUGCUUAACACAUGCAAGUCGAACGAUGAAGCCCAGCUUGCUGGGUGGAUUAGUGGCGAACGGGUGAGUAACACGUGAGUAACCUGCCCUUAACUCUGGGGUAAGCCUGGGAAACUGGGUCUAAUACCGGAUAGGAGCGUCCACCGCAUGGUGGGUGUUGGAAAGAUUUAUCGGUUUUGGAUGGACUCGCGGCCUAUCAGCUUGUUGGUGAGGUAAUGGCUCACCAAGGCGACGACGGGUAGCCGGCCUGAGAGGGUGACCGGCCACACUGGGACUGAGACACGGCCCAGACUCCUACGGGAGGCAGCAGUGGGGAAUAUUGCACAAUGGGCGCAAGCCUGAUGCAGCGACGCCGCGUGAGGGAUGACGGCCUUCGGGUUGUAAACCUCUUUCAGUAGGGAAGAAGCGAAAGUGACGGUACCUGCAGAAGAAGCACCGGCUAACUACGUGCCAGCAGCCGCGGUAAUACGUAUGGUGCGAGCGUUAUCCGGAAUUAUUGGGCGUAAAGAGCUCGUAGGCGGUUUGUCGCGUCUGUCGUGAAAUCCGGGGCUUAACCCCGGAUCUGCGGUGGGUACGGGCAGACUAGAGUGCAGUAUGGGAGACUGGAAUUCCUGGUGUAGCGGUGGAAUGCGCAAAUAUCAGGAGGAACACCGAUGGCGAAGGCAGGUCUCUGGGCUGUAACUGACGCUGAGGAGCGAAAGCAUGGGGAGCGAACAGGAUUAGAUACCCUGGUAGUCCAUGCCGUAAACGUUGGGCACUAGGUGUGGGGACCAUUCCACGGUUUCCGCGCCGCAGCUAACGCAUUAAGUGCCCCGCCUGGGGAGUACGGCCGCAAGGCUAAAACUCAAAGGAAUUGACGGGGGCCCGCACAAGCGGCGGAGCAUGCGGAUUAAUUCGAUGCAACGCGAAGAACCUUACCAAGGCUUGACAUGUUCUCGAUCGCCGUAGAGAUACGGUUUCCCCUUUGGGGCGGGUUCACAGGUGGUGCAUGGUUGUCGUCAGCUCGUGUCGUGAGAUGUUGGGUUAAGUCCCGCAACGAGCGCAACCCUCGUUCCAUGUUGCCAGCACGUAAUGGUGGGGACUCAUGGGAGACUGCCGGGGUCAACUCGGAGGAAGGUGAGGACGACGUCAAAUCAUCAUGCCCCUUAUGUCUUGGGCUUCACGCAUGCUACAAUGGCCGGUACAAUGGGUUGCGAUACUGUGAGGUGGAGCUAAUCCCAAAAAGCCGGUCUCAGUUCGGAUUGGGGUCUGCAACUCGGCCCCAUGAAGUCGGAGUCGCUAGUAAUCGCAGAUCAGCAACGCUGCGGUGAAAACGUUCCCGGGCCU
Molecule: ribosomal RNA, 1342 nt
Filed under: uncultured bacterium
Lineage: Bacteria
Description: bacterial SSU rRNA
Rfam family: Bacterial small subunit ribosomal RNA
Source: RNAcentral